GGCCCAGACUCCUACGGGAGGCAGCAGUGAGGAAUAUUGGUCAAUGGGCGGGAGCCUGAACCAGCCAAGUCGCGUGAAGGAAGAAGGUACUUAGUAUUGUAAACUUCUUUUGUCGGGGAACAAAGGCGGAGACGCGUCUCCGGAUGAGUGUACCCGAAGAAAAAGCAUCGGCUAACUCCGUGCCAGCAGCCGCGGUAAUACGGAGGAUGCGAGCGUUAUCCGGAUUUAUUGGGUUUAAAGGGAGCGUAGGCCGGUCUUUAAGCGUGCCGUGAAAUUUUGUGGCUCAACCAUGAGAGUGCGGCGCGAACUGGAGACCUUGAGUGCGCGGAAGGCAGGCGGAAUUCGUGGUGUAGCGGUGAAAUGCUUAGAUAUCACGAAGAACCCCGAUUGCGAAGGCAGCCUGCCGCAGCGUUACUGACGCUGAAGCUCGAAAGCGCGGGUAUCGAACAGGAUUAGAUACCCUAGUA
This 467-nucleotide ribosomal RNA is filed under the name uncultured bacterium. Its description in RNAcentral is "bacterial SSU rRNA". It matches the Rfam family "Bacterial small subunit ribosomal RNA", at positions 328 to 792 of the family's 1533-position model. The record is from RNAcentral.